RNAcentral lists this long non-coding RNA (4188 nucleotides) under Sus scrofa (pig). RNAcentral describes it as "lncRNA (ENSSSCG00000060355.1)". The record is from RNAcentral. Lineage: Eukaryota; Metazoa; Chordata; Mammalia; Artiodactyla; Suidae.
GGCCCUCCCCGAAUCCUAUGCCUCUAGCUGCACGUCUCUCUUCCCGGCAGGGUCUGGCCACCGUCCGGGUUCCCUCCGCCCCCACCCCUGCAGUGCCGGAGCUGCCUAACUUGGCGUUCCGAACCCUUCCAGUCCCCCGGGGCGUCUGGAGAUAAGGUGCUUUGGAAUGGAAAAGGCACCAUUUACAUGUUAAUGAUUUUCGAGCUUCGGGCUUCUGCGUCGCGUUUUUUCCUCCAGCAGGUUUGUCUAUGAUGGGAAAAGUGCCACAACCCGGGGACCCGAGUCCCUAGAUUUAUUUUGUGAAGGUGGAAUUAAGGGAGGCGGGGAAAGAGAGGGACGUUCUUCAGGAACCGAAAGGAGAGCGCUGUCUUGUCUGUAUUUAUGUAUUUAGGCAGAAGUCUAAACUGUCUACAAAAUCAUUGCUUUGACUUCUUGGAAAUAGAUAAAGUAAGAGCCCCCUUCCUGGGUGUAAGUGUUAACUGAGGAGGAUGGUGAUAUUCGAGGGAUUUUUUUAAAUGGGUUCAGAUUUCAUAUUAGCUCAGUGUUUUGAAUACUGCUACAAUGACUGCCAUAAGAUAGUUUGAGAUAGUUACAUCCAAUGGUACAAAUUUUGAAACUUUAGAUAAAUCUGUUAAAAUUUAAAGUCUACAUUUAGCCUAUAAUUAUACACUUUUAAUAGUAGCCAAAUAUAUCAUCCAAAGCAAACAGUAGUUAUUUCCCAGGUCUUCCCGGAUUGCCACACCCACCAAAUGCUACAUUGGAAAGGAUCGACUUUUCUCUUUCCUGUUUAGAUCAGAAAACCUUGAAAUUUGCACACAUACAAGAUACCUGUAAAUGAGAGAGUUAAGUAGACGCCUUCAGCCUUUAAAAAUUGCUCCAGUUUUGAAGUUCCGCCAGAGUAGCAAAGUGGAAUUGGAUUUCUGCAAAACAUUUUACUUUGCCUCUUUAUUCGUACAGUGUUGAAAACUGGACCAAGUGAGAGGAGUAACAAAUAAAACACUAUCAACUUGCCACAGUUCUCUGACCUCCUCCAGGCAUCACACCACCAUGGAUAAAACUUAAAUGCUGGUCUUGUGCCUAGUUUUUGGUGCUUUGUGUCAUUUUCCCCUUAAUCGUUCAUGUAAAUAUUCGCCUUGUCAUUAUGCAUCUAUCUAUACACUGAGGGACUGAUUUUUUUUGAGAGAAAAAUAAUCAAAGGACAUGCUUGACUGAAAAAGGUGUUUUUCCACUGCCAUAUGUUAAUACAAAGUCUUCUUUGAACAGAAUUUAACCCAUGAGAUUACUACUGUAGUUUUUGCAUUUUAAGCAUUGGUUAAUAUUCUAGCUCUGUUUUUGGUGCUGUUGGAUCCUGCUUUAUAUUACUGCAUAAAGGCAGUAAUGUUGAAUUACCUUAAUUUGAUUACUUUAACUACAUAAAGGAGACUUGGGUCUCUUCAAAAGUUGCUUGUACACUAAAAUUUCCAAGCUCCUCAUUUCUAUCCUCUCUCAGAUACAAAUGUUGCAGUGAUUUCAUCUAUGCCAUGAUAGCUUUGGUAACCUUUAUGCCUGUGCUUUACAGAUCACUGCUUCCACAUAGUGCUUCUGGCAAUUGCCUAAGUCACAGUUCAGUUCCUACAUCACAUUCAUUUGGAGGAUCCAGUUUAAUAUUGGUGCGUUUCCUCAUUGUACAUAAAAACCACUGAUAUUAGAAUGAACAGAUUUAUUUUUAAAUGAUUUUUAUUUUUUCCAUUAUAGCUGGUUUACAGUGUUCUCUCAGUUUUCUACACUACAGCAAAGAGACCCAGUCAUACAUACAUAUAUACAUUCUUUUUCUCACAUUAUCCUCCAUCAUAAGUGACUAGAUAUAGUCCCCAGUGCUAUACAGCAAGAUCACAUUGCUUAUCCAUUCCAAAGGCAGUAAGUUUGCAUCUAUUAACCCCAGAUCCCAAGUCUAUCCCAUGCCCUUCCCUUCCCCCUUAGCAACCACAAGUCUGUAGAAUGAACAGAUUUAAUAUGAACUGGCAGAAAUAUUUCAGCCUGUACAUGAUUCAUCAUGUAUUUAUUAAAUACCUUACUAUGUACAUACAAAGAAUUUUCUCUUUCUCUGAGGAUAUUGUUUGUUGUUUUUCAUAUUUACAAAAUUAAAUAAAUGAAACACUCCCUUCUGCUAAUAUUUUUAUUAAUGUGUAUUUAUCAGGCUGACUCUGAUAAAAUUUCAGAUCCAUAAGUGUAUGUAUGUGUUUUCAUGACCCUGUAUGUGAGAUCUGUGUCUUAGAUAGAUGUAAAGAGUAAGAUCAUAUUGAGAAUAGAGUAAAAGCUGGUGUUCUAUCUGGCUUUUAAAUAGUACUAUGGAAUACUUAUAGGCAGGUUGGGGCUAGAUCUUGGUUUCUCCAUGCUCUUUCCAGACACUGUACUUUCCUAGGGGUUUCCAGAUGUUCAAAGUAAGGAAAUCUUGUCAUUUAUCGGAUAAUUGACCCCCUCCAAAUACACUGUGACGUUACAGUGGAAAGUUUCUUAACCAACCUCCAUUUAGCUGACUCAUGCGGUAACAGAUACCUGUCAUUCCUGGUGAGGUGCACAGCAAGCAAAAGGAUGCCACAGCACAACGAAUGCUCACAACACCUGCACACUUCUGCUCCCACCAGGUGAGUCAUGGACCCCAAGAGAAUCCAUCAUAUUUGUUCCCAAACCUGAUUAUACAUAUUACAACUGUCCUUAUGGAAUUUAAAUACUAAUCAACUGAACAUUAAAUUAAUAAAAAGAGUAUUUAAGGCAAAACGAAAAUUGCUACAAUGAAAACUAAGUUAAAUGCUGUGAAUGAAUGAAGGUGAAACACUGAAGAGUCUCCGUCAAAUUAAUUGUGGGUAUGAUGAUUGUAAAAGAUUGGGGUUAAAGUAUUCAAAUCUCUAGAUAUCUAUCAGUUCUCACUCUGCUUAUAAGAAAGUAAAAAUGAAGAUUGUAAACAAAGAGAUACAUGAGAAAGAUACCUGGGGCUCUGAAUAGUGGACACAUACUCGAAAGACCAAGGCCCUACAAGCCAACUGCUGGUUAAAAACCCUCAGACUAUGCAAAACAAAACUCUGCUUUUAUGGUUUAAACUAAAGGAAAUUGUUGUAUACUAUGUGUGUGUGUAUGAGAUUCCUUUUUAUUAACCAGCCAUCUAAAUAUUUUUCAUGUAUUUACAUGUAAUUAAAAUCAGAAACUAAAUAUGGUAGUAAAUAAUGAAAACCAGUUGAAUUGGGAUUUUAUGUUUGUUUGUUUGUUGUUUGUUUGUUUUGGCUGUGCCUGUGGUGUGCAGAAGUUCCUGGCCAGGAAAUGAACCUGUGCCACAGCAGUGGCUUGUCCUAUAGCAAUGACAAUGCCAGAUCCUUAACUGCUAGGCCACCAGGAACUUUAGGAUUUUAUAUUUAAAAAUAAAACUACAACCUAUGAAAUUUGAUCUACCUCACAGCAAAAUGCUGUUUACCUUUACAACUCUGCACUAAUUCUUCAAAUUCUUUGAAUGAGCCUUAUUGUUUGCUCUUUUUGAUGUGUGAUGAGAUAUUCUUUUUCUGUUUAAUUUUUGCGGCUUAAUCAUGACUAUCAUUGUUGCAAAAAGUAUUCAAAGAUUUCAUAGGUUUCUACAAGGUCCUCUUAUAAUAUUCAAUUACUUUCUUUGAAUUGAUGUCCUUGUUAGUUUUCUCUUCCUUUGUGUUUCACUGGUCCAACUCUGCUAAAUUCUACACUGACAAGACUUUACUGGUGAUCUGGGAAGUUUAGUACCACUUCCAGUGGCUCUAUCAACUUCUGCAUCACUUGGAACAUUUGCACCUUCCCUUUGCAAUUGAUGUGCAUUGUUUUGGGGUCACAACUGCUAAAGAGUUAUACAAAGUUGGCAUCCACUAGGGCAGUGCCACCUGAUAAAAUAUAAUGCAAGCUGAAAAUGCAAGGCACAUUGCAUUUCUAGUAGCCACAUUUUAAAAAACUGACAAGGAGUUCCCGACGUGGCGCAGUGGUUAACAAAUCCAACUAGGAACCAUGAGGUUGCGGGUUCGGUCCCUGGCCUUGCUCAGUGGGUUAACGAUCCGGCGUUGCCGUGAGCUGUGGUGUAGGUUGCAGACGCGGCUCGGAUCACGCAUUGCUGUGGCUCUGGUGUAGGCCAGUGGGUACAGCUCCGAUUGGACCCCUAGCCUGGGAAUCUCCAUAUGCCGCGGGAGCGGCCCAAGAAAU